UCCCAGGGUAAUCUCUGCUAAGGUGGCUGGAGGGGUACCUCCUAGACCAUUGCAGUGAAAGGCACCACCACAGUCUCCUGUGGCGCAGUGGCCACGGCCAGAGGCGUCAAAUAUGCAGCCAUGGCGACCCCAGAAGCGGCCGGACCAGAGUGGUGGCAGUUUUAGAGAGUAGGCCUUGUUGGGUGGGAGCCUGAAGCCACCUCUAGCUAAGAGGGGCUUUCCUGCACUUGGUUGAAUACCAGGCCACACUGGGUGGCUGCAGUGUUAUAGUUGCUGAUGAGACUUCCACGGUAAUGUGGGAGAAAAUGAGGGUGGAGAGCAAGAGAAUGAGCAGAGAUCUAAGUAUCAUUGCCAUGGCUAUGUAGCUGGGAAGUGAGAGAAUAGUUAGUGGAGACCACUAAGUGUAGCAGAGGAUAACAGAGAAGAAAGAGUCCUCUCUCUCUCUCAUACACACACACACCCAGAGCUUUC
RNAcentral lists this unclassified non-coding RNA (471 nucleotides) under Hevea brasiliensis (rubber tree). The record is from RNAcentral. Lineage: Eukaryota; Viridiplantae; Streptophyta; Magnoliopsida; Malpighiales; Euphorbiaceae.